RNAcentral lists this ribosomal RNA (439 nucleotides) under uncultured rumen bacterium. RNAcentral's name for it is "bacterial SSU rRNA". It matches the Rfam family "Bacterial small subunit ribosomal RNA", at positions 957 to 1396 of the family's 1533-position model. The record is from RNAcentral.
UAACGCGAAGAACCUUACCAGAUCUUGAGAUCCAGAUGAAUAUCGGGCAAUGCCGGUAGCUCUUCGGAGCAUCUGAGACAGGUGGUGCAUGGUUGUCGUCAGCUCGUGUCGUGAGAUGUUUGGUUAAGUCCACCAACGAACGCAACCCCUUAUCCGUGUUGCCAGCGCGUCAAGGCGGGGACUCGCGGAUGACUGCCCGUUCACGCGGGAGGAAGGUGGGGAUGACGUCAAGUCAGUAUGGCCCUUACGCCCAGGGCCGCACACGUGCUACAAUGGCCGGUACAGAGGGAUGCGAUGCCGCGAGGCGGAGCGAACCCCAGAGAGCCGGCCCCAGUUCGGAUCGCAGGCUGAAACCCGCCUGCGUGAAGCCGGAGUUGCUAGUAAUCGCGGAUCAGCACGCCGCGGUGAAUGCGUUCCCGGGUCUUGUACACACCGAAUC